Molecule: long non-coding RNA, 557 nt
Filed under: Gallus gallus (chicken)
Lineage: Eukaryota; Metazoa; Chordata; Aves; Galliformes; Phasianidae
Description: long non-coding RNA NONGGAT005299
Source: RNAcentral
UCUUUUUUUUUUUUUUGAUGAAGGUUGCUGGGGUUAAAGGGAUUUGAGUGAUUAUGGGAGCAGCUAAAGAUGAGAGGGGCUCAGUUUUCUGCAACACUAAGCGAUGAGAAAUGCUCUGAGCUCCGAGCAGAGCAGGCCUCCAUGUGUGUCCCUGGUCAGGGUGGGUUUGCUCCAUGUUAGCAACACUGCCUGUACCACUUGUGUGGAAGAGAUUAUUUGCGAGGCUCUGAGGUCUCAGAAGUCUGUUGUUGCUUAGCUUGUUCGAGAUACUCUUCGAUUUCCCCCUUAAAAACUUCAGGAACUUUGCAAGCUCUGAAGGGUGCCGUACCCGCGUUCUGCAUGGCACGAGGGGGAUCCAGCGGGUGUCAGCGUUGCUGAGCAGUGAAUGCAUAAGGUGUGGAUUUGGGUUUAAAAGAAACCAUAGGAAACUGAGAUGCAUAAACGGACAGUCCUGGAGCUUGAUGGGAACGAUUGAUUUCCUGCAGCAUUGUGUAUUUUCUGCCCAACACGACCUCAAUACAGACUUCUGGGUGAGUGAGGGCUGCAGUAAACCUGAG